UCGAGCCCUAGAUCCCCAAUUCUCCCAUUCUAUCUCCGAGCACCUUGGUCACCGCCGCCGACUCGCCGAUAUGCCCCCGAGCGGUUCAUUUCGUCGACACGCCGGUGUGUAAAGUAGAAGAUGGAGAAGAGCCAACACACUUCGAGUGUAAUUUAUUUGAUAUGUGUUAAUGUUCGGAGGUGGAACAUCAUCGUACGUAGUUGCGGAUGUAGAAUGUUAUUUUGGACCGAAGUCUGUAACGCGCACUUCUUGGAUGGUCGACAAUCCCGGAAGAAGAUUCAGUUGUUGUAUGAAAUCUAAGAGAGGAACACGGGCAGGGUGUUGUUUUUUUCUGUGGGAAGAUCCUCCUAUAUGCCCUCGAGCUAAAGCUAUCAUCCAAGGUCUAUUGAAGAAGUUGAAUGAUGGAGAUGCCGAAAUUAUGUCUCUGAAGCAACGAGUUAGGAACUUGAAAUUUCUAGCGCAUGUUGAAUUAUUCCGAUUAUCACAUGUGUUUGGAUAAGUUAUUACAUAGCGGUCAAUGAAAGUUUCCUAAUAGUUGAUUGAAGGUAGUUGUUUAGGUAGCUGUUUGGUUGCUUUUGUCGCAUAUUUUCGUACUAACUAUAUUUGUAUCUAUUUUGUAUUUCUGCCAUAACAGUGGUUGUAUUGUCGUUGUUGACGAAUGAAUUGGCAUGUAUUCGCAACUACUUGUAUGCAUUGUAAUUUUUCUAA
RNA transcript from Andrographis paniculata, 708 nucleotides. RefSeq lists it as uncharacterized. The transcript has 3 exons. The record is from RefSeq and is a predicted model, not a curated record. NCBI's taxonomy places the organism in Eukaryota, Viridiplantae, Streptophyta, Magnoliopsida, Lamiales, Acanthaceae.